CCUACGGGAGGCAGCAGUGAGGAAUAUUGGUCAAUGGGCGUAAGUCUGAACCAGCCAAGUCGCGUGAGGGAUGACGGCUCUAUGGAUUGUAAACCUCUUUUAUACGGGAAUAAAGUGCGGGACGUGUCCCGUUUUGUAUGUACCUUAUGAAUAAGGAUCGGCUAACUCCGUGCCAGCAGCCGCGGUAAUACGGAGGAUCCGAGCGUUAUCCGGAUUUAUUGGGUUUAAAGGGUGCGUAGGCGGCCUUUUAAGUUAGCGGUGAAAUGCCGUGGCUCAACCGUGGAAUUGCCGCUGAAACUGGGGGGCUUGAGUGUGUUUGAGGCAGGCGGAAUGCGUGGUGUAGCGGUGAAAUGCUUAGAUAUCACGCAGAACCCCGAUUGCGAAGGCAGCCUACCAAGCCAUGACUGACGCUGAUGCACGAAGGCGUGGGGAUCAAACAGGAUUAGAUACCCUUGUAGUC
This 460-nucleotide ribosomal RNA is filed under the name uncultured bacterium. RNAcentral describes it as "partial 16S ribosomal RNA". It matches the Rfam family "Bacterial small subunit ribosomal RNA", at positions 338 to 795 of the family's 1533-position model. The record is from RNAcentral.